This 483-nucleotide ribosomal RNA is filed under the name uncultured bacterium. RNAcentral describes it as "bacterial SSU rRNA". It matches the Rfam family "Bacterial small subunit ribosomal RNA", at positions 19 to 518 of the family's 1533-position model. The record is from RNAcentral.
AUGGCUCAGGACGAACGCUGGCGGCGUGCUUAACACAUGCAAGUCGAGCGAUGAAGCUCUUCGGAAGUGGAUUAGCGGCGGACGGGUGAGUAACACGUGGGUAACCUGCCUCAUAGAGGGGAAUAGCCUUCCGAAAGGAAGAUUAAUACCGCAUAAGAUUGUAAUAUCGCAUGAUAUAGCAAUUAAAGGAGUAAUCCGCUAUGAGAUGGACCCGCGUCGCAUUAGCUAGUUGGUGAGGUAACGGCUCACCAAGGCGACGAUGCGUAGCCGACCUGAGAGGGUGAUCGGCCACAUUGGGACUGAGACACGGCCCAGACUCCUACGGGAGGCAGCAGUGGGGAAUAUUGCACAAUGGGGGAAACCCUGAUGCAGCAAACCGCCGCGUGAGUGAUGACGGUCUUCGGAUUGUAAAGCUCUGUCUUCAGGGACGAUAAUGACGGUACCUGAGGAGGAAGCCACGGCUAACUACGUGCCAGCAGCUGC